ACGGAGGGUGCAAACGUUGCUCGGAAUCAUUGGGCGUAAAGCGCACGUAGGCGGCUUUGCAAGUUGAGUGUGAAAGCCCUGAGCUCAACUCAGGAAGUGCAUCCAAAACUGCAGAGCUCGAGUUCCGAAGGGGGCCAGAGAAUUCCCGGUGUAGAGGUGAAAUUCGUAGAUAUCGGGAGGAAUACCAGUGGCGAAGGCGCUGGCCUGGUCGGAUACUGACGCUGAGGUGCGAUAGCAUGGGGAGCAAACAGG
This 252-nucleotide ribosomal RNA is filed under the name uncultured bacterium. Its description in RNAcentral is "partial 16S ribosomal RNA". It matches the Rfam family "Bacterial small subunit ribosomal RNA", at positions 525 to 776 of the family's 1533-position model. The record is from RNAcentral.